UACGUAGGGGGCAAGCGUUGUCCGGAAUUAUUGGGCGUAAAGAGCGUGUAGGCGGCCCGAUUAGUCCGCUGUGAAAGUCCAGGGCUCAACCCUGGAAUGCCGGUGGAUACUGUCGGGCUAGAGUCCGGAAGGGGCGAGUGGAAUUCCUGGUGUAGCGGUGAAAUGCGCAGAUAUCAGGAGGAACACCAAUGGCGAAGGCAGCUCGCUGGGACGUGACUGACGCUGAGACGCGAAAGCAUGGGGAGCAAACAGG
RNAcentral lists this ribosomal RNA (253 nucleotides) under uncultured bacterium. RNAcentral describes it as "partial 16S ribosomal RNA". It matches the Rfam family "Bacterial small subunit ribosomal RNA", at positions 524 to 776 of the family's 1533-position model. The record is from RNAcentral.